GCUUAGUUGGUAAAGCACAAAGCUCUCAAACUUGUGGACGUGGGUUCAAGCCCCAU
Molecule: non-coding RNA, 56 nt
Organism: Triticum urartu
Lineage: Eukaryota; Viridiplantae; Streptophyta; Magnoliopsida; Poales; Poaceae
Source: Rfam